UGCCCAAGAGAUCGGGAUAACACCUGGAAACAGAUGCUAAUACCGGAUAACAACAGAUGAUGCCUAUCAACUGUUUAAAAGAUGGUUCUGCUAUCACUCUUGGAUGGACCUGCGGUGCAUUAGCUAGUUGGUAGGGUAACGGCCUACCAAGGCGAUGAUGCAUAGCCGAGCUGAGAUACUGAUCGGCCACAUUGGGACUGAGACACGGCCCAAACUCCUACGGGAGGCAGCAGAU
RNAcentral lists this ribosomal RNA (235 nucleotides) under uncultured Lactobacillus sp. Its description in RNAcentral is "partial 16S ribosomal RNA". It matches the Rfam family "Bacterial small subunit ribosomal RNA", at positions 127 to 354 of the family's 1533-position model. Lineage: Bacteria; Bacillati; Bacillota; Bacilli; Lactobacillales; Lactobacillaceae. The record is from RNAcentral.